This is a long non-coding RNA of Neopelma chrysocephalum (saffron-crested tyrant-manakin), 837 nucleotides long. RefSeq lists it as uncharacterized. Lineage: Eukaryota; Metazoa; Chordata; Aves; Passeriformes; Pipridae. The record is from RefSeq and is a predicted model, not a curated record. The transcript has 5 exons.
GGGCGGAGGGGGAUCGGGGUGAGGGUCCCGGCGGGUACCGGGGGCGCCGGGGGUCCCGCCGGAGCGGCGGUGGGGCCGCGGCGGUGCCUCCCCCCUCCCCUCCCCUCGCACAGGAUCUGGUCACAGAGACACCCAGCUGCCUGCCCGGGGAGUAGCGGCACUUGGGGAAGCUCACGUCACUGCAGAGCAGCAGCCCUUGGCCAGCAGGCAGACUGAAGCCAGACAAGAAAGGGCAGAUGCGUCUCCCCCUCGACAAGUCGCUGCAGCACCCACACAUGUUGGAAGCUCAGUGUCCUCCAUGGGAGAAGCGUUGCCAGCCCUUUCCUCCUCUGAUUCUCACAUGGGAAAUCCCGCGCUGGGAAAUGGCAUCAUGUCCACAGACACACCAUGGCCAGACAAGCAACAUCAGUGCCGUGUACCCAGGGGAGGAGAAGUCCUUGAUUCAGCAGACAUGACCAGGCCUGGCCAGAAAAUGGAUGUUGUUCCUGAAAGGCAGAGAGGGGACAAGGACAAACAGCUGAGCUGUUGGGUAGCAGCGUUGGGUCAGGCACCGCUCAAAGCGCAGCCCACACUGGCAGAGUGUGCAGACUGCUUGGGUUUUCUACAAAAAUGCCUUUUGACAGAGGUGUCCCUGCUCUGAGGGGCCCAAGUGGGGCUCACCAAAGGUAUUUGCCGUGCUUUAGACCCCAGGACAAUGUCACCCCAUCCCAGCCAAGCAAGCAGAAGCUGGGGAGCUUCCCUGUUGCCAAGCUGGAUCGCUGGUGAGGAAAACAUGUCCAACCUGCUGGGUAUUCCCUUGCGCCUCCUUUCCAAGCAUUAAAAGUGCUAAUUAAACCA